AACGAACGCUGGCGGCAUGCCUAACACAUGCAAGUCGAACGAACCCUUCGGGGUUAGUGGCGCACGGGUGCGUAACGCGUGGGAAUCUGCCCUUUGCUUCGGAAUAACUCAGGGAAACUUGUGCUAAUACCGGAUGAUGUCUUCGGACCAAAGAUUUAUCGGCAAGGGAUGAGCCCGCGUAGGAUUAGGUAGUUUGUGGGGUAAAGGCCUACCAAGCCGACGAUCCUUAGCUGGUCUGAGAGGAUGAUCAGCCACACUGGGACUGAGACACGGCCCAGACUCCUACGGGAGGCAGCAGUGGGGAAUAUUGGACAGUGGGCGCAAGCAUGAUCCAGCAAUGCCGCGUGAGUGAUGAAGGCCCGCGGGUCGUAAAGCUCUUUUACCAGGGAUGAUAAUGACAGUACCGGGAGAAUAAGCUCCGGCUAACUACGUG
Molecule: ribosomal RNA, 433 nt
Filed under: uncultured bacterium
Lineage: Bacteria
Description: partial 16S ribosomal RNA
Rfam family: Bacterial small subunit ribosomal RNA
Source: RNAcentral